Molecule: ribosomal RNA, 292 nt
Filed under: uncultured bacterium
Lineage: Bacteria
Description: partial 16S ribosomal RNA
Rfam family: Bacterial small subunit ribosomal RNA
Source: RNAcentral
GUGCCAGCCGCCGCGGUAAUACAGAGGUGGCAAGCGUUGUUCGGAAUUACUGGGCGUAAAGGGCGCGUAGGCGGCCCGUCAAGUCCCGUGUGAAAGCCCCCGGCUCAACCGGGGAACGGCGCGGGAAACUAGCAGGCUUGAGUUCGGGAGAGGGAAGCGGAAUUCCGGGUGUAGCGGUGAAAUGCGCAGAUAUCCGGAGGAACACCGGUGGCGAAGGCGGCUUCCUGGACCGACACUGACGCUGAGGCGCGAAAGCUAGGGGAGCAAACGGGAUUAGAUACCCCCGUAGUCC